RNAcentral lists this transfer RNA (73 nucleotides) under Ictidomys tridecemlineatus (thirteen-lined ground squirrel). RNAcentral describes it as "Spermophilus tridecemlineatus (thirteen-lined ground squirrel) tRNA". It matches the Rfam family "tRNA". From Rfam's summary of the family: Transfer RNA (tRNA) molecules are approximately 80 nucleotides in length. Their secondary structure includes four short double-helical elements and three loops (D, anti-codon, and T loops). Lineage: Eukaryota; Metazoa; Chordata; Mammalia; Rodentia; Sciuridae. The record is from Rfam by way of RNAcentral. RNAcentral also lists the same sequence under 1 other name.
GGGGGUGUAGCUCAGCGGCACAGCACUGGCCUAGCAUUGUAUAAGGCCCCAGGUUUGAUCCCUGGCACUGCCA